This 827-nucleotide ribosomal RNA is filed under the name Acinetobacter lwoffii. Its description in RNAcentral is "bacterial SSU rRNA". It matches the Rfam family "Bacterial small subunit ribosomal RNA", at positions 19 to 838 of the family's 1533-position model. Lineage: Bacteria; Pseudomonadati; Pseudomonadota; Gammaproteobacteria; Moraxellales; Moraxellaceae. The record is from RNAcentral.
UCUGCUCAGAUUGAACGCUGGCGGCAGGCUUAACACAUGCAAGUCGAGCGGGGAAGAGUAGCUUGCUACUUAACUUAGCGGCGGACGGGUGAGUAAUACUUAGGAAUCUACCUAAUAGUGGGGGACAACAUCUCGAAAGGGAUGCUAAUACCGCAUACGCCCUACGGGGGAAAGCAGGGGACUCUUCGGAGCCUUGCGCUAAUAGAUGAGCCUAAGUCGGAUUAGCUAGUUGGUGGGGUAAAGGCCUACCAAGGCGACGAUCUGUAGCGGGUCUGAGAGGAUGAUCCGCCACACUGGGACUGAGACACGGCCCAGACUCCUACGGGAGGCAGCAGUGGGGAAUAUUGGACAAUGGGGGGAACCCUGAUCCAGCCAUGCCGCGUGUGUGAAGAAGGCCUUUUGGUUGUAAAGCACUUUAAGCGAGGAGGAGGCUCCCAGUAUUAAUACUACUGGAGAGUGGACGUUACUCGCAGAAUAAGCACCGGCUAACUCUGUGCCAGCAGCCGCGGUAAUACAGAGGGUGCAAGCGUUAAUCGGAUUUACUGGGCGUAAAGCGUGCGUAGGUGGCCAAUUAAGUCAAAUGUGAAAUCCCCGAGCUUAACUUGGGAAUUGCAUUCGAUACUGGUUGGCUAGAGUAUGGGAGAGGAUGGUAGAAUUCCAGGUGUAGCGGUGAAAUGCGUAGAGAUCUGGAGGAAUACCGAUGGCGAAGGCAGCCAUCUGGCCUAAUACUGACACUGAGGUACGAAAGCAUGGGGAGCAAACAGGAUUAGAUACCCUGGUAGUCCAUGCCGUAAACGAUGUCUACUAGCCGUUGGGGUCUUUGAGAC